RNAcentral lists this small nuclear RNA (331 nucleotides) under Erinaceus europaeus (western European hedgehog). RNAcentral's name for it is "7SK RNA (ENSEEUG00000020220.1)". It matches the Rfam family "7SK RNA". From Rfam's summary of the family: 7SK was discovered as an abundant small nuclear RNA in the mid-70s but a possible function has only recently been suggested. Two independent studies have found that 7SK RNA binds the CDK9/cyclin T complex (known as elongation factor P-TEFb). P-TEFb activates transcription by phosphorylating the C-terminal domain of RNA polymerase II. The record is from RNAcentral. Lineage: Eukaryota; Metazoa; Chordata; Mammalia; Eulipotyphla; Erinaceidae.
GGAUGGGAGGGCUAUCUGGCUGCGACAUCUGUCACCCCAUUGAUCACCAGGGUUGAUUCGGCUGAUCUGGCUGGCUAGUUAGGUGUCCCCUUCCUCCCUCACCGCUCCAUGUGCGUCCCUUGUCCCUCCCGAAGCUGUGCACUCACUUGAAGAGGACGGCCUUCAUCGAAUAGAGAUGGACCAGUCUUCAGUCAACUGAGGGUAUAAAAGUAGCUGUGCUCCCCUGCUAGAACCUCCAAACAAGCUCUCAAGGUCCAAAGGGAUCUGUGUAUACCUAUGGUCACAGCAACACAAUUCAAAAUAGCCCAAACUUGGGGAGCAACCUAGGUGU